This 425-nucleotide ribosomal RNA is filed under the name uncultured bacterium. Its description in RNAcentral is "bacterial SSU rRNA". It matches the Rfam family "Bacterial small subunit ribosomal RNA", at positions 354 to 796 of the family's 1533-position model. The record is from RNAcentral.
GUGGGGAAUAUUGGACAAUGGGCGAAAGCCUGAUCCAGCAAUACCGCGUGAAUGAUGAAGGCCUUAGGGUUGUAAAGUUCUUUUAGUUGGAAAGAUAAUGACGGUACCAACAGAAAAAGCCCCGGCUAACUCCGUGCCAGCAGCCGCGGUAAGACGGAGGGGGCUAGCGUUGUUCGGAAUUACUGGGCGUAAAGGGCGCGUAGGCGGAUUAGUAAGUUGGGAGUGAAAGCCCGGGGCUUAACCUCGGAACUGCUUUCAAAACUGCUAGUCUUGAGUGAAGUAGGGGAUGAUGGAAUUCCUAGUGUAGAGGUGAAAUUCUUAGAUAUUAGGAGGAACACCGGUGGCGAAGGCGGUCAUCUGGACUUCAACUGACGCUGAGGCGCGAAAGCGUGGGGAGCAAACAGGAUUAGAUACCCGAGUAGUCC